RNAcentral lists this small RNA (139 nucleotides) under Arabidopsis thaliana (thale cress). RNAcentral describes it as "ATSL164020". Lineage: Eukaryota; Viridiplantae; Streptophyta; Magnoliopsida; Brassicales; Brassicaceae. The record is from RNAcentral.
AAAAAAAAACAAUAGAAAAAUUCCAUUGUCCUUCCUCAUUCAUCGGAGAGUUCUCUUUGGGCUUUCCGAAAAGGUAUCACAUGCCAAGUUUGGCCUCACGGUCUAAAACUUAUAGAAUCAUACAUUCUUAACAAAAAAA